Molecule: ribosomal RNA, 377 nt
Filed under: uncultured bacterium
Lineage: Bacteria
Description: bacterial SSU rRNA
Rfam family: Bacterial small subunit ribosomal RNA
Source: RNAcentral
AUACGUAGGGGGCGAGCGUUGUCCGGAAUUACUGGGCGUAAAGGGUGCGUAGGCGGCUGUCUAAGUCAGAUGUGAAAUACCAGGGCUUAACCCUGGGGGUGCAUAUGAAACUGGGCAGCUUGAGUGCAGGAGAGGAAAGUGGAAUUCCUAGUGUAGCGGUGAAAUGCGUAGAGAUUAGGAGGAACACCAGUGGCGAAGGCGGCUUUCUGGACUGUAACUGACGCUGAGGCACGAAAGCGUGGGGAGCAAACAGGAUUAGAUACCCUGGUAGUCCACGCUGUAAACGAUGGAUACUAGGUGUAGGAGGUAUCGACCCCUCCUGUGCCGGAGUUAACGCAAUAAGUAUCCCGCCUGGGGAGUACGGCCGCAAGGUUGAA